Molecule: transfer RNA, 82 nt
Filed under: Nelumbo nucifera (sacred lotus)
Lineage: Eukaryota; Viridiplantae; Streptophyta; Magnoliopsida; Proteales; Nelumbonaceae
Rfam family: tRNA
About the family: Transfer RNA (tRNA) molecules are approximately 80 nucleotides in length. Their secondary structure includes four short double-helical elements and three loops (D, anti-codon, and T loops).
Source: Rfam by way of RNAcentral
GUCGAUAUGUCCGAGUGGUUAAGGAGACAGACUAGAAAUCUGUUGGGCUCCGCCCGCGCAGGUUCGAACCCUGCUGUCGACG